GACAUAGGUGGCGAACGUUAUCCGGAAUUAUUGGGCGUAAAGGGUGCGUAGGUGGCGAAGCAAGUUAGCGGUGGGAAAUCAGGGCUCAACCCUGUGGAAGCCGGUAAUACUGUUUUGCUUGAGGACAGGAGAGGUUGACGGAAUUCCAUGUGUAGGGGUAAAAUGCGCAGAUAUCAGGAGGAACACCGGUGGCGAAGGCGGAUCUCUGGGCCGUAACUGACGCUGAGGAGCGAAAGCAUGGGGAGCGAACAGG
RNAcentral lists this ribosomal RNA (253 nucleotides) under uncultured bacterium. RNAcentral describes it as "partial 16S ribosomal RNA". It matches the Rfam family "Bacterial small subunit ribosomal RNA", at positions 524 to 776 of the family's 1533-position model. The record is from RNAcentral.